CAAUAGCGUAUAUUAAAGCUGUUGCGGUUAAAAAGCUCGUAGUUGGAUUUCUGUCAGGGACAACUGGUCCGCCCCUCGGGUGAGCACAUAGUUUGGUCUUGGCAUCUUGUUGGAAACUGUUGCUGCACUUGGUUGUGUGGCGCAGUGUCCAGCACUUUCACUUUGAGGAAAUUGGAGUGUUUCAAGCAGGCACAUGCCUUUGGACACAGUAGCAUGGAAUAAUUAGAUUGGGCUUUUGCUCCAACUUGUCGGUUUCUGGAGCUGAGGUGAGAAUUAAUGGGGAUUGUUGGGGGCAUCCGAAUUUAGCCGUCAGAGGUGAAAUUCUUGGAUCUGCUAAAGACGGACAACUGCGAAAGCGUUUGCCCAGGAUGUUUUCAUUGA
This 381-nucleotide ribosomal RNA is filed under the name uncultured eukaryote. Its description in RNAcentral is "partial 18S ribosomal RNA". It matches the Rfam family "Eukaryotic small subunit ribosomal RNA", at positions 592 to 976 of the family's 1831-position model. The record is from RNAcentral.